RNAcentral lists this long non-coding RNA (4576 nucleotides) under Piliocolobus tephrosceles (Ugandan red Colobus). RNAcentral's name for it is "lncRNA (ENSPTEG00000016659.1)". The record is from RNAcentral. Lineage: Eukaryota; Metazoa; Chordata; Mammalia; Primates; Cercopithecidae.
AUAUUCAUUAUUGUUACAUUUUUUUGUAUUUUAUUACAUAUGGAACAAUAGUUUAUUAUGUUUAUAUAAAAAAAAAAUUAUGCAUUUAUGAGUUUUCUUUUUUUAUUUUUAUAUAGUUAAAUUUGUAAAAAUAAAAUUUACUAAUUAGUGGGUUAGUUACUUUAAAUAGGUAACUAUGAACAUUUUAUACCCACAACCUCUUCAAUAGCCGAUUAUAUAUAUAUGUAUAGAACUUCAGAAGAGAUUAUUUAUUUUUUUUUUUUAUAAAUCCACAUACCGGAGAUGCUAAAAUUUUAAAACACAGCAAAAAAUUAAAUGUUAAAAAAGAAAAUGUAAAUAAAAUUAAAGUCACUCGUACCAAAAUAAAUAGCAAAAAUAAUAUUUAUAAAAAAAAAAAAAAGUAACAAGCGGAUGGAAAAAAAAAUAACAAAAAAAUAAAGGAGAAAUCACAAAAAAAUGACAAAAAAAAUUACAAAAACAAAAUAAAUAAUAAUAUAAAAAACAUCUUUAUAUGUUUUAUAUAUAUGUUUAGUNNNNNNNNNNNNNNNNNNNNNNNNNNNNNNNNNNNNNNNNNNNNNNNNNNNNNNNNNNNNNNNNNNNNNNNNNNNNNNNNNNNNNNNNNNNNNNNNNNNNUACAUCACAUAUAUAUUUAUGUACAUACCUAGAUAAAUCCAACUCCUUAUUAUAUAUAUACGUAACAUACAUAUUUAUGUACAUACCUACAUAAAUCUAACUACUUCUCCUCCCCCCUCUCCCCCACAAAAAAAAAAAAAAAAAAAAAUCAAAGCCAUUAUAUAUAGCAUGAAUGCAAAAAAACGAAGUAAAUUGCGAACGAAGCUGAAGCGCAAAAAAAUAGGUUUCCAAGAAUUUUCUUACAUUUCUUAUAAACAAGAAAUACGCAAAUUGUAUGCAAAAGAAAAGUAUACAACACCACUACCUUUACAGGACGAACAUAGUAAUCAAUCAUUUAAAGAUGAUGAUAUGAAUACAGACGGGUCUGUGAAUGACAUUUUUCCAAAAAAUGUUGACAAUAAAUAUUCUAUGAAUUUGAUUACAGACCAUAUGUUAGAUUUCGGUAAGGUUACGGAUAUAAAAGAGAAAGAAAUGGAAGAACAUGACAAUAGUAACGGUACAUUAGGCACAAGAGAAGAUGAUGACAACGCAGAUGAAGGAAAUCUAUUUAGUUUCUUAAACAAAAAUCAUGAUAAUAAAAAUAUAGUAAGUAAUAGCAAUAAUAAAAAAGAAUAUAGUAUAAACAGGUAUGUAUUAAGUAAUAGUGGAUUGAUAUCAAACUCAGGAAAAAAUAAAAGUGGUACACAUAAGAAAUUGGAAAUUGUCUACGAAAAUGAGACAAUCGUAUUGGAUAAAGAAGAUGAGAACCAAAAAAAAAAAUUAAUAAAUGAAUUGUUACACAUUAUAAUUACAAAAAAAAAAAUAACAAAAGUGUUAAGAGACCAACUAGAAGAAACCAAUAAAAAUAUUAAUUACUACGCUAGUAGCAGUAUGAUAAAAUAUAUUGUUCGAAAGGUUGAACGAGGUGUAUAUUUUUCGGAAUUAGAAGCACUGAUAAUACAUAAUAUUGAUUUUAACAAUUUGGAAAUAACAAUAGUUAAUUCUAAAAAGAUUGAAAGGUUAAAAAAGUAUAUUUUUUCAUCAGAUAGAUUAGCAAUCAUUGAACGUGCUAUCAUAAAAAUAUAUAAAGACAGUACAAUUCGUUUAAAAUGUGAGAGAAUGUAUAAUGAACUUAAAAUAACAGAAAAAGAAUUUUUGGUUUGUUUGUUAAUUGUAUGUAAUUAUAUAUUACUGAAGGAACCAAAUGUAACAACACGUAAAUAUAAAAAAAUAAAAGGAAUAUAUGGAUUUGUCAAAAAAAGGUUAAAUAAACCGAAAAAUGAAGAACUAGAAGACAGUAAAACAAAAAAGGAACAUGAAGAUGAUAAAAAAAGAAAAAAACAAGAUAAAGAUGUUAAAAAAAAAAAAAAACAAGAAGAUAAAGAUAAAGAUNNNNNNNNNNNNNNNNNNNNNNNNNNNNNNNNNNNNNNNNNNNNNNNNNNNNNNNNNNNNNNNNNNNNNNNNNNNNNNNNNNNNNNNNNNNNNNNNNNNNAAGAUAAAGAUAAAGAUAAAGAUAAAGAUAAAGAUAAAGAUAAAGAUAAAGAUAAAGAUAAAGAUAAAGAUAAAGAUGAUAAAAAAAUAAAAAAACAAGAAGAUAAAGAUAAAGAUGAUAAAAAAAUAAAAAAACAAGAAGAUAAAGAUAAAGAUGAUAAAAAAAUAAAGGCAAAAAAUGAACAGAGAGGAUACAGUAGUAGCAGUAGUAGCAUCAGAAGUAGUAGUGUUGACAAGAGUUAUAUAACAAAUUCGAAAAGCAUUAAAAAUGUGGAUGUCUUGGGUAUUUUGGAAAAAAUUGAUAGGUCAAAGAAAAAAGAGAAAGACACAACAAAAUGCGUCGAAAAAAACAGAAAAGACACAAAAACGCAUAUUGGAAAAAACAAACAAGGUACAACGACGCAUACUGAAAAAAACAAACAAAGUACAACGACGCAUACUGAAAAAAGCAAACAAGGUACAGCAACAAAUAUUGAAAAAAACAGAAAAAGCACAACAACAAAUGUUGAAAAAAAUAUACCACUGAAAACCUCAAUCUAUACAGAAAACAUCGGAGAUAAUAACAUAUAUGAAAGUAAAAAUGAUAACAAAAGUAUAGGUUAUAUGAUAUACGAUUUGUUGAAUAAAAGAGACACAGAAAUAAAAGAAUUAAAGUGUUCAAUACAGUCAAUAGGUGAAAACAUGAAAAUGUUGAUACAAAAAAAUAACAGUCUGGAGAAAGAUGUUAAGUUUAUACAAUUGGGGAUGUACAAUUUUAUGCGAAGUAGUAUGAAACAUGUAAAUAAUGAAUAUAAUCAUCCUACUAAUACACUUCUCAAAAUGUGCCCAAACGAAUGCCAAUUAAAUAAACAAAGUACUUCCUCAGGUAUAUACAACGAUAAUAACACUGAUAGCUCACUUACCCCUUUGCCCUUGAUAAACAGCAAAAAACAAGAAAGUAGUAUCUCCAUUAAAGAUGCCGAAAAGGAUAGUACAAUUUAUAACUAUCAUAGUUAUUUAAAUGAUUUGGAAGAAGAAGAAGAAGGAAAAAAAAAGAAAAAAAAAAACCAAAACACAAUACAAUCUUUGUUUUGUCCUUCUACGAAUAAAUACAACAAUAAUUUUAGUGAAACAAUAAAAAGAAAAAAUAAGCUAAAACAUAUAGAUACAGUAAAUUGCAAAGUGUAUAGUAAUAUUAUUAGAGAUAAGUAUAUACAAAAAUUUAUAUAUAAAACUUCGGAACUUAUUAUUUCAUUACAUUCUUCAUGUUCAAACACGCAAGAAGCUAUGAAAAAUGACCCAAGCUUAGUAAUAAAACAACUUGUUCUCUUAAAUUCUAUAAAUAACACUAUAGAUAAGAUUCGUUGUAUGAUAAAUGUUAAUAAUAACAGUAAUGACAUAAUAAAAGGUAAAACUAAAUAUCUAGAUUUAUGUGCACAUAAAAAGGUGAGUAAAGAAACGAACAAGGAAAUAGACAAAAAAAACUCAAACGAAAAAGAUAAAAGCAAAAGUUUUAGCAACUAUUACUUUUAUAUAAAAAAGGAAAAAUUAAAAACAGAAAAAGAAGUAGAAGAUAUACAAAAAAUAAGAAAUAUAAACGGCAAUUAUGAUUUGAUAAAUAUAGAUAAAAAGGUACAAGAUUUAUUAGUUUUAUCACGCAGUAAUAAUAAUAAUAAACGAGAUGAAUAUAUAAUACCUAGUUUAGAAAAUGAUACCAAUUAUACUACUAUUUAUAAUAAUGUAUAUGUAAAAAAAGCAGAUAAACGUAAAAAAAGGGUGGCAACUAGUAGCAGCAAUAUAAUAUGUAAAAAAAUACAUAAUACACAAAACACGUACAACAUGUAUACAAGCUCGAAAUUGUUUAACCUAAAUAAUGUAGCUAGUAAAAAUUGGAAUGAAACAAAAAUAUCAACUGAAAAUAUAAAAAGAGAAGAUUUAAUUUUGGAAGAAAAAAAAACUUUAAGUGUACAUCUAAAGGCGCAUAUGCGUCCAGAGGACACAUUGGACAAAACGGAAAAAGAAAAAGAGAAAGAACGGGAGAAAGAAAGGGAGAAAGAACUGGAAAAAGAAAGGGAGAAAGAACGGGAGAAAGAAAGGGAGAAAGAAAGGGAGAAAGAACUGGAAAAAGAAAGGGAGAAAGAACGGGAAAAAGAAAGGGAGAAAGAACUGGAAAAAGAAAGGGAGAAAGAACGGGAGAAAGAGAUGCUACAUAAGGAACAGUAUCAACAAAAAAUAAAUUAUUUUAAAUCACACUUGAAUCUACAUCAUAAAAAAGAACUAGAAUAUUUAAAAUUGAAUAAACAUGAAUAUGAUAAUAUGAUCAUGCGGAUAAUUAAGUUAUAUGAAGAGGAGUUGGAAAAAAAAGGAGAAGAUAAGAAUUGGUUAGAAAGAAAGAAAGAGAAACAGAAUGAAUUAGGUGCGAUUAAAUUAGAAUUAAAGGUAGAUAAAAGUAAGGUAAAUAGAAAUAAGAUAGAUACAAGUAAGGUAAAUAAAA